AUGCUUAUCUCGUGGGAAAUUUGGAAUGAGAGGAAUGCUCGAGUCUUCCGCCACACCGCAGUGCCUAUAGGGGUUCUUAUUGCUAGAAUUAAAGAUGAGUCAAAGUCGUGGUGUCUUGCGGGAGCAAAAUUCUUUGAGUAA
RNAcentral lists this ribosomal RNA (141 nucleotides) under Triticum aestivum (bread wheat). RNAcentral's name for it is "partial small subunit ribosomal RNA". The record is from RNAcentral. Lineage: Eukaryota; Viridiplantae; Streptophyta; Magnoliopsida; Poales; Poaceae.